GAUGAAGAACGAAGCGAAAUGCGAUACUUGGUGUGAAUUGCAGAAUCCCGUGAACCAUCGAGUCUUUGAACGCAAGUUGCGCCCGAAGCCAUUAGGCCGAGGGCACGCCUGCCUGGGCGUCACACGUCGUUGCCCCCCCAUCUACUCCUUCGGGAUUGCGGGGGGCGGAUGAUGGCCUCCCGUGCGCCUCGUCGCGCGGUUGGCAUAAAUGCCAAGUCCUCGGCGACGCACGCCACGACAAUCGGUGGUUGCGAAACCUCGGUUGCCGGUCGUGUGCGGUCGUCGCGCAUCGAGGGCUCGAAAAAAUUGCCGGGCUCCGGCUCGGCUUUCAACGCGACCCCAGGUCAGGCGGGGUUACCCGCUGAAUUUAAGCAUAUCAAUAAGCGGAGGA
RNAcentral lists this unclassified non-coding RNA (391 nucleotides) under soil metagenome. RNAcentral's name for it is "partial contains 5.8S ribosomal RNA, internal transcribed spacer 2, and large subunit ribosomal RNA". The stretch from base 1 to 122 matches the Rfam family "5.8S ribosomal RNA", at positions 35 to 154 of the family's 154-position model. The record is from RNAcentral.